GGACAGGGAUGGGACAGGGCCCUUUAUAUGAAAACCCCAGGACUGCACACACAGAACAGGCACAUUUUUGACCCAUCAUUGUACCCUGCUGAAGAAGGAUUGAACAUGAAAAACGUGGUCUGACAACUUAAAUUACAAUAUAUUUAACAAAAAGACAGGAAGAUUGGAAUGUUACAAUGCACAUUGAAUUAGUGAAGUAGAUUGCAAUUGUGAAUGUCAAAAACUGGUUAACAGAUACAGUAUUCACAUACUUACAGCAUGUACAACAAAUAUGACUGGGUCAUGACAUUAAGACUAUAGAUACAAUCAUAAGACAACCAAAUACAUGAAAACAAGUGUUUGCUUUGAAAGUUGAUUGUACAGUAGGCUAGAGCUUCUAUAAAAGGAUGAGACAAGUGACAAAUUGUACAUCACAAAUGCAUGUGUCAACAAAUACUAAACUAUUUAGGAGUAAUCUAUUAAGGCUUGGUUCUCAUGAUCAAGCAGUCCGUUUCUUAUUGUACAUAUUAAAGACAAUGCACCUUGCUCAUAAAGAUGAUACAAAGUGGUUGUUGUUAACCCCCUGACACCACAAUAGUUGAUUCCUAUUAAUAAACACAACUGUGUAUCAAACUGGAGCGAUUGAAGGCUGACCAUUAAACCUAAAUAGGUAUAAAGAUGCAUUGGCUCUCAUCCAGUGGAGGCUGAUGAGAGGAGGACGGCUCAUAAUAAUGGCUGGAACGGACCGUGUGUUUGAUGUAUUUGAUACAAUUCCACCUAUUCUGCUCCAGCCAUUACCAUGAGCUAGUCCUCCCCAAUUAAGGUGCCACCAACCUCCUGUGCUCUCAUCAUGUUAUUCUAUUGCAGUUAUCUUUUGAGGCUGGGUGAAAAUAAAUUAUGGCAUAUCCUGCACCAAGCCCAAGCCCAAAAACAACAUCAAUAUUUUAUCUUGACAAAUAAAGUAGGCAAAACAUUGGUUCACACAAGAGGUAGUUCAUUAAAAUAUUAAAAAACAUUUAAACUGACGCACGUUAAUCUGGUACAGGUGUGUGGUUACUGGUGCUGGGUUACUGAUUUGCAGCACACGUCAUUCUGUUUGGCAGGUGCUUAACACAGAACCAUAUAUAUGAGAGGAAUCAGAAACACGCUCACAGCUGGUGGUAUUCCUCCUUGCAAUGCGAUAUGUGUUUGUAUAAUCUGUCUAUUCGGUUCUGUAGUACUCCCGCGUGUUCGUAGGAGAGAAAACCUAGUUCCGGAGACAAAGGUUCGCUGUCUCUGUACAGCUCGAGCAGCCGAGUCCUGGUGUCCCUGCGCCGGUGCAGUUCUAUCACGCGUUGCGCUGUCCUCUUUCUGAACACAGACACGGAGCCCAAGACCGUGCUGUGGUACUUCUCCCACAUAUCAAGCACCCGGUAUCCAUGUACAAGCCCUGCCUCGUUGUCUAUGAAUACCAGGUCACCGCGGGGCGUUCUGAGCAGGUUGUUGGUCUCCCUCUCCAUCACGCGCGAGUCCCACUGCAGGCUAAAGAGGUUGCUAACGAGCCUGUCGAAGUUAGCAGACAGGUAGUCCAAUAUUAUCAGGUCGGUCCACUGCAUUAGCUCGAACAACUCCGCAGUCGUUUUGUUUCCCAGCUCCCCUUGCAGAGGACGCAGCCCCUUGCUCUCCUGGCGCAGCGGAGCAGGUGUGACAACCCCGGUCAGGUUGGGGACCCACUCGGUGAGUGAGACCACCGCCCGCUCAUUCCACUGUAAACCGCCAAUUCUUCUCCUAACAGAAGCCCAUUGUUCACUGUCAACGUUCAACUGGGCAAGGAUGAGAGGCGGUAGAUUUGUAAUACCUAGCAAAUUAGCCAGGUAAUAAGUCAGCGUUUCCCCCUGCACCUGGUCCGCGUUUAUUCCAUAACGCACGCAAGCUUUGGCUCCGUCCGAAAAAGUGGCCAGCUGAUUGGAUAUUCUACCACAGCCCGGCUCCAGUCUGACUAUGCGGUGUCCCCGGGCUCUCUCUCUCCAAGCCCGGGCAUGUUCCUCACUGAAGCUGGCGGGAAGCUGAGCCUCCAGCCAUUCACUCCAAAAAAUACCCUCAACGAGCGAGCCAAAUUUGGCCGGGACCCCCCUCUGUACGGACCCCUUGUUAUCUACAUUCAUAUGGUAAUCUCUGUUUCCUAAAGAGCCAAUUUGAUCCCUAACACCAGUAACGUUGCGGACAUCCAGUCUGCCCCCCAAGUGCAGUCUCUGUGCCACUGGAACAGCGAGCAAAGCACGGAAAGUUUUAGCGGAGAUGUCCGGUGAUGGCCCAACGUGAAAGGAGCUCGGUAACUGUAACCCCCGUUUGUAUCUCUCCAGCCGACUCUCCAGCCUGCUCCAGACGUAGAAUACACAGGCACAAGUGCAGAGAAAGAGCAGUGCAAACUACAAUUACCACCAACUAAAGGAAACCUUGGCAUCCAUGACAGAGAGGGAGAAGCGUCCAUCCAUGUAUACGGAGAAUGGUAGAAUCAGGCUGGAGAAAACUCAGUGCCAGUCGAAACAAGGAUGCAUCUUAAAAUAGAGACUCCAGCAGCUACACAGACUGAUUUAGUAAAGUGCUUGGUGCAGUGGGUAUACAAAGCAUAAAACCCAGCCUUUGGACAAAGCUGACGCUGGAAAUCCGCUACCGACCCGGGACCUGUACAGCAUCGCACACUAUUACACAGAGCUCUUCACGGAUCCACAAAUACCCAAGAGGAUCCACAUCCAGAAUUCUAAAUAAUGUCACC
Molecule: long non-coding RNA, 2734 nt
Filed under: Salmo salar (Atlantic salmon)
Lineage: Eukaryota; Metazoa; Chordata; Actinopteri; Salmoniformes; Salmonidae
Description: lncRNA (ENSSSAG00000120217.1)
Source: RNAcentral